This 156-nucleotide small RNA is filed under the name Otolemur garnettii (small-eared galago). RNAcentral describes it as "7SK RNA (ENSOGAG00000029478.1)". Lineage: Eukaryota; Metazoa; Chordata; Mammalia; Primates; Galagidae. The record is from RNAcentral.
UCUCUCCCAAAGCUGGGAGCUUGGUCAGAGAUGAUGACCUUUUCUUUAUGGCAGAGAACUAUAUGCAGUAAGGAAUAUAAAUGCAGUUUUAAUUCCCUUCUAGAGUCCCCACAUCAGCAGCUAAAUGCCAUUUAUUAAAGUUCAUAGGAAACAAAU